AUUGAACGCUGGCGGCAGGCCUAACACAUGCAAGUCGAACGAGUGGCGGACUGGUGAGUAAUGUCUGGGAAACUGCCUGAUGGAGGGGGAUAACUACUGGAAACGGUAGCUAAUACCGCAUACCAUCGGAUGUGCCCAGAUGGGAUUAGCUAGUGGGUGAGGUAAUGGCUCACCUAGGCGACGAUCCCUAGCUGGUCUGAGAGGAUGAUCGGCCACACUGGGACUGAGACACGGCCCAGACUCCUACGGGAGGCAGCAGUGGGGAAUAUUGGACAAUGGGCGAAAGUCUGAUGGAGCCAUGCCGCGUGUAUGAAGAAGGCUCUAGGGUUGUAAAGUACUGUCAGUCGGGAGGCGGUACCGAAAGAAGAAGCACCGGCUAACUCCGUGCCAGCAGCCGCGGUAAUUC
This 406-nucleotide ribosomal RNA is filed under the name uncultured bacterium. RNAcentral describes it as "partial 16S ribosomal RNA". It matches the Rfam family "Bacterial small subunit ribosomal RNA", at positions 30 to 526 of the family's 1533-position model. The record is from RNAcentral.